RNAcentral lists this ribosomal RNA (447 nucleotides) under uncultured bacterium. RNAcentral describes it as "bacterial SSU rRNA". It matches the Rfam family "Bacterial small subunit ribosomal RNA", at positions 32 to 469 of the family's 1533-position model. The record is from RNAcentral.
AAUCAACGCUGGCGGCGUGCCUAACACAUGCAAGUCGAACGAGAAAGUGGAGCAAUCCAUGAGUAAAGUGGCGACCGGGUGAGUAACACGUGACUAACCUACCCUUGAGUGGGGAAUAACCUUCCGAAAGGAGGGCUAAUACCGCAUAAAGUCCUAAGGAUGAAACGCCUAAGGACCAAAGGAGUAAUUCGCUUUAGGAGGGGGUCGCGGUUGAUUAGCUAGUUGGCGGGGUAAUGGCCCACCAAGGCGAUGAUCAAUAGCCGGCCUGAGAGGGCGCACGGCCACACUGGAACUGAAACACGGUCCAGACUCCUACGGGAGGCAGCAGUGGGGAAUUUUGCGCAAUGGGGGAAACCCUGACGCAGCAACGCCGCGUGAAGGAUGAAGGUCUUCGGAUCGUAAAGCACUUUCGACCGGGACGAACAACCUCUGGCUAACAGUCAGGGG